This 1128-nucleotide long non-coding RNA is filed under the name Delphinapterus leucas (beluga whale). RNAcentral's name for it is "lncRNA (ENSDLEG00000004259.1)". Lineage: Eukaryota; Metazoa; Chordata; Mammalia; Artiodactyla; Monodontidae. The record is from RNAcentral.
AAUAUUUGCUUAUCUGAUUCUGAGGUUUAUUUCCCUUUGCUUACAGGUGAUAAUACAGUUGGUCUGAAUGAUUUGAUGGAUGCUCUCAGUUAUAUCAAGGGUGAGUUGCGAGCUAUGAUGAAAAGAUGUCAUAAAUAGCGUCUUAAUAUUUUGCAGUUGGUGGAGAAAAAUAUAUCCCCUUAUAAAUGUUUAAAUUCUUUCAUAUAUGUUCCAGUUUUGUGGAUGCUACUGAAAUUGGGUAAACAGUAAUUAAUCUGUACUUAUAUAUCAAUACCCAUAAUAUUCUCUGACGUUUUCCCCAAAAGGAUUCUUCAACAUAGUUACAGAUCUCAAGAGCCACAGAACUAUUCAUUUUCCCCAUUAACCCCAAUCCUGGAAAUUUAUCCUGUGGAAAUAACUUAAUUGAAUAAAAGAAAAAAAUCUCUUCCUAAAGACCUUCAGGGAAAUUUGAAACAGCCUAAAUAUCUAACAGUAUGGGAAUACCAAAUAAGUCAUGGAGAGGUGAUUGAUAUCCAGGACUUAGACAACUUUCUAGCAAAUGAGGGGGUUGAGCUCACAGAAGAAGAAAUGAAGAAACUAAUACCUCAUUUGACAUCCAAUGAACAUGGGAACGUUAAAGUGCAUUCAAUAAUGGAGGGCCUGAAGAAGUUUAAAUGAAUGGUGCCUCUACAGAAGUUGAUGAAAAUCACAAAUGAUACUAAAGGACUGACCCAAAAACAUAUCUGCUAAAAAAAAAGAAAAGAAAAGCACAAGGACUCAGAAUCCAUGCCCAUUUGCUUGUCAAGCUCUAUGAGUGGAAAUAAUAAACAACAGGCUGGCCCCAAACUUAAGUCCUAACCCCAAAGCACCUUCCAUCUAUCCAGUGCACCAAGCUGUGGAACCCAACUUAUGUCCUGGGACCAUCAGCCCUACAGAUAAGUAUCAUACCAGUCCACCAAUUCUAAACUACCUAGGAUAUGCCCACCAGUAAAUUAAGUGAAAUCAGCCCUUCAUCCCAUUUGGUUCUGAAUAGAUGAGUAUUGAUGUAGCUAAAUUAUAAUACAUACCUACUCCCCAGGAUAGUUUAGUUCCUUAUGUAUUCCACCCUAUUAAUUUUGAUGAUUUUUGUCACCACUGUUCACUCACAGA